RNAcentral lists this transfer RNA (75 nucleotides) under Sphaerodactylus townsendi. RNAcentral's name for it is "tRNA-Thr". It matches the Rfam family "tRNA". Rfam says of the family: Transfer RNA (tRNA) molecules are approximately 80 nucleotides in length. Their secondary structure includes four short double-helical elements and three loops (D, anti-codon, and T loops). The record is from RNAcentral. Lineage: Eukaryota; Metazoa; Chordata; Lepidosauria; Squamata; Sphaerodactylidae.
GGAGAAGCUGUAGCUUAGAGGCAGAGCAUCUGCUUAGUAUGCAGAAGGUCUCAGAUUCAAUCCCGAGCAUCUCCA